AUACGGAGGAUGCAAGCGUUAUCCGGAUUUAUUGGGUUUAAAGGGUGCGUAGGCGGUUUGCUAAGCGGGAGGUGAAAUGCCGGCGCUCAACGUCGGAAGUGCCUCCCGAACUGGUGGACUUGAAUGACUCUGCCGUGGGAGGAAUGUGUAGUGUAGCGGUGAAAUGCUUAGAGAUUACACAGAACACCGAUUGCGAAGGCAUCUCACGAAGGGUUGAUUGACGCUGAGGCACGAAAGCGUGGGGAUCAAACAGGAUUAGAUACCCUGGUAGUCCACGCAGUAAACGAUGAUGGCUAACCGCUGGGCUUAUCAGUUCAGUGGCCAAGCGAAAGCGAUAAGCCAUCCACCCGGGGAGUACAACCGCAAGGUUGAAACUCAAAUGAAUUGACGGGG
Molecule: ribosomal RNA, 393 nt
Filed under: uncultured bacterium
Lineage: Bacteria
Description: partial 16S ribosomal RNA
Rfam family: Bacterial small subunit ribosomal RNA
Source: RNAcentral